This 482-nucleotide ribosomal RNA is filed under the name uncultured Flavobacteriaceae bacterium. RNAcentral's name for it is "bacterial SSU rRNA". It matches the Rfam family "Bacterial small subunit ribosomal RNA", at positions 28 to 505 of the family's 1533-position model. The record is from RNAcentral. Lineage: Bacteria; Pseudomonadati; Bacteroidota; Flavobacteriia; Flavobacteriales; Flavobacteriaceae.
GAUGAACGCUAGCGGCAGGCUUAACACAUGCAAGUCGAGGGGUAACAGAGAGAGCUUGCUCUUUGCUGACGACCGGCGCACGGGUGCGUAACGCGUAUACAAUCUGCCUUACACUGGGGGAUAGCCUUUGGAAACGAAGAUUAAUACCCCAUAGUAUGAUUACUUGGCAUCGAGUUAUCAUUAAAGGUUACGGUGUAAGAUGAGUAUGCGUCCUAUUAGCUUGUUGGUGUGGUAACGGCACACCAAGGCAACGAUAGGUAGGGGCCCUGAGAGGGGGAUCCCCCACACUGGUACUGAGACACGGACCAGACUCCUACGGGAGGCAGCAGUGAGGAAUAUUGGACAAUGGAGGCAACUCUGAUCCAGCCAUGCCGCGUGCAGGAAGACUGCCCUAUGGGUUGUAAACUGCUUUUGUACGGGAAGAAACACUCCUACGUGUAGGAGCUUGACGGUACCGUAAGAAUAAGCAUCGGCUAACUCCG